CGGGAGGGUGCAAGCGUUAUCCGGAUUUACUGGGUUUAAAGGGUGUGUAGGCGGACUUUUAAGUCAGCGGUGAAAUCUCCGGGCUCAACCCGGAAACUGCCAUUGAUACUAUUGGUCUUGAAUAUUGUUGAGGUGGGCGGAACGGGUCAUGUAGCGGUGAAAUGCAUAGAUAUGACCCGGAACACCGAUUGCGAAGGCAGCCCACUAAGCAAUGAUUGACGCUGAGGCACGAAAGCGUGGGGAUCAAACAGGAUUAGAUACCCUGGUAGUCCACGCCCUAAACGAUGAUUACUCGACGUUGGCGAUACACUGAUCAGCGUCCAAGCGAAAGCAUUAAGUAAUCCACCUGGGAAGUACGUUCGCAAGAAUG
This 370-nucleotide ribosomal RNA is filed under the name uncultured organism. Its description in RNAcentral is "bacterial SSU rRNA". It matches the Rfam family "Bacterial small subunit ribosomal RNA", at positions 525 to 896 of the family's 1533-position model. The record is from RNAcentral.